CUACGGGUGGCAGCAGUGGGGAAUAUUGCACAAUGGGCGCAAGCCUGCUGCAGCCAUGCCGCGUGUGUGAAGAAGGCCUUCGGGUUGUAAAGCACUUUCAGCGGGGAGGAAGGCGUUAAGGUUAAUAACCUUGUCGAUUGACGUUACCCGCAGAAGAAGCACCGGCUAACUCCGUGCCAGCAGCCGCGGUAAUACGGAGGGUGCAAGCGUUAAUCGGAAUUACUGGGCGUAAAGCGCACGCAGGCGGUCUGUCAAGUCGGAUGUGAAAUCCCCGGGCUCAACCUGGGAACUGCAUUCGAAACUGGCAGGCUAGAGUCUUGUAGAGGGGGGUAGAAUUCCAGGUGUAGCGGUGAAAUGCGUAGAGAUCUGGAGGAAUACCGGUGGCGAAGGCGGCCCCCUGGACAAAGACUGACGCUCAGGUGCGAAAGCGUGGGGAGCAAACAGGAUUAGAUACCCCAGUAGUC
RNAcentral lists this ribosomal RNA (464 nucleotides) under uncultured Klebsiella sp. Its description in RNAcentral is "bacterial SSU rRNA". It matches the Rfam family "Bacterial small subunit ribosomal RNA", at positions 339 to 795 of the family's 1533-position model. Lineage: Bacteria; Pseudomonadati; Pseudomonadota; Gammaproteobacteria; Enterobacterales; Enterobacteriaceae. The record is from RNAcentral.